UAGGGAAUCUUCCGCAAUGGACGCAAGUCUGACGGAGCAACGCCGCGUGAGUGAAGAAGGAUUUCGGUUCGUAAAACUCUGUUGUUAGAGAAGAACAGCGCAUAGAGUAACUGUUAUGCGUGUGACGGUAUCUAACCAGAAAGCCACGGCUAACUACGUGCCAGCAGCCGCGGUAAUACGUAGGUGGCAAGCGUUGUCCGGAUUUAUUGGGCGUAAAGCGAGCGCAGGCGGUCAAUUAAGUCUGAUGUGAAAGCCCCCGGCUCAACCGGGGAGGGUCAUUGGAAACUGGUUGACUUGAGUGCAGAAGAGGGGAGUGGAAUUCCAUGUGUAGCGGUGAAAUGCGUAGGUAUAUGGAGGAACACCAGUGGCGAAGGCGACUCUCUGGUCUGUAACUGACGCUGUGGCUCGAAAGCGUGGGUAGCAAACAGG
This 429-nucleotide ribosomal RNA is filed under the name Bacteroidota bacterium. Its description in RNAcentral is "Bacteroidetes bacterium partial 16S ribosomal RNA". It matches the Rfam family "Bacterial small subunit ribosomal RNA", at positions 355 to 776 of the family's 1533-position model. The record is from RNAcentral. Lineage: Bacteria; Pseudomonadati; Bacteroidota.